RNAcentral lists this long non-coding RNA (693 nucleotides) under Daphnia magna. RNAcentral's name for it is "uncharacterized LOC123473728". Lineage: Eukaryota; Metazoa; Arthropoda; Branchiopoda; Diplostraca; Daphniidae. The record is from RNAcentral.
GUGGUUUUUGUCGAAUUCCAUGAGAUGUGGAAACGGGGAAAAUCAUCUCAUGAAAUACUCAAGCAAUCGCUAGUUUCUCUACUAGAUGUCUUGAAAAUUUUGUGAGCAACUGAAUCACGAUUCCGUAGCUGACCGAAAGAGGGACUGCAAUAGAAUUCGUCUGCUAGGCAGAGAAAAACAUGGAACGUCUACUGCUUGACUUUUUAUUAGGUGAGACAUCUCUUUAUCUGUUUGUACUAACAAAAUAAAAUAUUUCGUAAUGAACAGCAGAAAGAAAACGUCAUGACUACUCAGUUUGGGAAGUUUAUGACAAUUAGCCAUCUUCUAGUUUACAAUAUUCACACUUAAUGUUGAUCUAUUUAUAUUUUGGAAGGGAAAAGUGGGGUCAUGUUCUAUUGACUGUCACCGUUUAACCAGAGAUCAGUUACCAAUCAGGCGGCGCUACCUUAACUAAAUUUUCAAUGGACCAAUCUACCAUCUUAAAAUAUAAAUAAUGAACUAAACGCGAUGGACUGAUUCAACUAACACCAUACACAUUCUAAUAGAAAAAGGUCCCAAAUGGACACCAACUACCAGAGUAAGAAACGGGAUGAAAAUGCCACUUACUUGACUGUGUGCAUUGCAAUGAAACCUGUAACCCAUUAACACAAUAGGCCUAUACAAUAAAUUUAACGACGCGACUGACAAAUUAAA